Molecule: ribosomal RNA, 460 nt
Filed under: uncultured bacterium
Lineage: Bacteria
Description: partial 16S ribosomal RNA
Rfam family: Bacterial small subunit ribosomal RNA
Source: RNAcentral
CCUACGGGAGGCAGCAGUGAGGAAUAUUGGUCAAUGGCCGAAAGUCUGAACCAGCCAAGCAGCGUGAAGGAUGACUGCGCUAUGGGUCGUAAACCUCUUUUAUAUGGGGACAAAACGGGGUACGCAUACCCUCUUGAGUGUACCCUGUGAAUAAGGAUCGGCUAACUCCGUGCCAGCAGCCGCGGUAAUACGGAGGAUCCGAGCGUUAUCCGGAUUUAUUGGGUUUAAAGGGAGCGUAGGUGGAUUGUUAAGUCAGUUGGGAAAGUUCGCGGCUCAACCGUAACAUUGCAGUUGAAACUGGCAGCCUUGAGUACAGCAGAGGCAGGCGGAAUGCGCGGUGUAGCGGUGAAAUGCUUAGAUAUCGCGAAGAACUCCGAUUGCGAAGGCAGCUCACUGUGCUGCAACUGACGCUGAGGCACGAAAGUGUGGGGAUCGAACAGGAUUAGAUACCCUGGUAGUC